UGGAAAAGGAAGCAGAAGAAUCAGAGAAGAUGAGACAAUGGAAGCAGAGGUUGCAGCAAUGCCGUUCUUGGCUUUGAAGGUAGAGGAAGGAAGGGGCUCUGAGCCAGAGUCUCCAGGAGGCCUCUAGAAGCUGAAAAAGCAGCCAUAGAAUAUGGGCGUGGCAUCCCUCCCUGGCGAGGAGCUCCCAGAGCACCCUCAGUGAUGAGGGUCCUUGUGCUUCACAGGGUGGCGUCUUUACUUUCCACCCCACCAGCUGGACUCCAAGCUUGACCUUUCUACACUACCACAGUUGUCUCUUCAGAGCCCAGAAUAGUGCAAGGAACUUAAUCUUGGAACAGACACUUCAUCAGCCACCCAAGCAGGAAACUGCCUUUCUGCAGAAGUUAAUAUGCACAGCAUGAUCCAGGAGCAGGAGGACUCAGUGGAGACAUGGUCACUCCGAGGCAUAAACUGUCCCAUGGCAGACACGCCGCUGGAGUCAUCACCAGCAAAUAAGGCUCCAGGGUCCAAAGCCCCACCACCCUCCAGUCAGUGCCUGCUGCAGCCUCUUCUCUCAGGACCCAGGGGCUUCCAGGGGAACAGGAUGCCUGGCUUCUGGUCCUUCCAUCACACGAAUGGUGACAGAGGCCAGCAGGGACACACAUCCAGGGCAUAGUGAUAAAUGGAGCUCAAUGAACUCAGCUUUCAGAGGCAGCAACACUGUCCCCGCUGACCACCACCAGCUGGGUACCAGGGGACAAACCCUCUCAACACCAAGAGCUUCAACCUCUGCACUGGUGAGAAGUGGAACCUUUCUGAAUUUUGGGACAUGAGCAUUUCUGGGAACAUUCACCUUUUGUCCCUGUAUACAACGGAAGUUCUGUGGCCUGAUAAGGAUGAUCUUCAAGCGUGCAGAAUCCUGCUCUGAUAUAGUUUGGUCUCAGGCUCCACAGGAAAUUUGAAAUCAGCCAUUUUAGGGGCUGGGAAGUCCAAGAUCAAGAUGCUGGCAGAUUCAGUGUCUGGAGGAGUCUCAUUCUUUCACCUAAGCUGGAGUGAAGUGGUGCAAUCUUGGCUCGCUACAACCCCAUGCCCCCAUGGUUCAAGCGCUUCACCUGCCUCAGCCUCCGGAGUAGCUGGGAUUGCAGGUUCCCGCCACCACACCUGGCUAAUUUUUGCAUUUCUGGUAGAGACAGGAUUUCACCAUAUUGGCCACAGUGGUCUUGAACUCCUGAUCUCAGAUGAUCCACCCACCUUGGCCUCCCAAAGUGCUAGGAUUACAGGUGUGAGCCACCAGGCCUGGCCAAUGCUAAAUUUUAGAGAGUAAAGAAAAAAACAAUGUAAUUUUUCCCUCAUUUAAGUUAAUUGUCUCCCUAAAUUCUAUUUAUGGGCUUCUCAGAGAUGCAACAGCAGACCCUAGGUUGAAAAUCCUUGCAUUAGAUGGAAGACACCUAGGUCCCUCGGUGCCCUCCCCCCCACUCCCCUCAAGACAGUUUCAUAGUUGGCCACCUGCUGAUCACACAAUGAGCUUUUAUUCUACUAAGCCAUUGAGAGUUGGAAGUUGUUUGUUAUAGUAAUAUAAGUAAUAUAUUACUUAUUUUAACUAACACAGAAAUCAAGCUUUAGAUUUAAGAAGUCCAAUAUAUAAAAAGAAAUCCACGCAUAGACAAAUCAUGAUGAAAUUGCACAAAAACAGAAAGAAUUAGUUUUGGUUUAUUUGUUCGUUGUGAGUGAGAAGGUCUUUCUCUGUCACCCAGGCUGGAGUGCAGUGGUACAAUCAUACCUCACUGCAGCCUCAUACUCCUUGGCGUAAGCAAUCCUCCCACACCAGCCUCCCAAGUAGCUAGGACUAUGGGCAUGUGCUACCAUGCUGGCUAAUUUUUUUAAAUUUUAUUUUUGUGGAUACAGAGUCUUGCUUUGCUGCCCAGGCUGCUAUUAAACUCCUGGCCUCAGACAAUUUUUCUGCCUUGGCCUCCCAAAGCUCUGAGAUUACAGGUGUGAGCCACCACACCUGGAAGAGAAGGUCUUUAAAGCAGCCAAGAAGGAAAACAAGAUUGCUUUCAAUGAGACUAGCAGCUGACUUCUCAUGAACAAAGUGGAAGCCAGAGGACAGGGCAUGAUUACCUUCAAUGUCUGAGCAAACAUAAACUGUUAGCUUAGACGUUUAUAUUCAGCAGAAGUUCUUUUAAGAAUAAGAAUGAAAUAAAGACAUUUUCAGACCAAAAAAAAAAAAAAUGCAAUUGUGAGUUACACCGGAUUCUGGGAGAAUAAGAAGGAUAAUUCCCAUGACCUGCCUUCAGGUUGCUCUGGGCUGUCUACUUUUGCCCCAGCCUGAGCAGUUGGGAAUGUGAAAUGUGAACCAUACUGUGCCCCAUCAUUAUUCUUGCCUGAGAAAGUUACAUAAACAGUGAUAUAGUUAGCUACUGCUAUGUAACAAAAUCCCUCCAAACUCAGCGAUGUAAAACAACGGUAUUGCUCGUGAGUCAAUAGGACAGUCUGUUCAUCUGGACUAGGCUCGGCUGAUCUUAGCUGGGCUUACUCAUGGUCUACAGUUAGCUAGUAGGUCUGCUGGACACUGACUGGUCUAAGUGGCCUUACUCAUAUAUCUGAGUAGGCUGGCCAUUGGCUGGAGUGAUGGGGGCAGCUGGGCUAUGUGUCUUGCCCAACCAGCAGGCUAGCUUGAGCUUAUUCACAUGAGUGUGGCAGAGCUCCAAGGGAGUGAGGAAAAUUGCAAGACCAGGCUUGGAACUGGCACAUUGUCACUUCCGUUUUAUUCUGUUGGUCAAAGAAUAAGGCCAGCCCAGCUUCAAGAGGUGAGGAAACAGACUCUACCUCUGAGUGGAAGAAGCCAAAAAGUCAUCUUACAAGAAGGCGGGGAGGGGAAUCAUGAAUCAGUGGGGCGAUUUUCCCCCCACAUUUAUCAAAGUGACUUUGAAAUAAAGGCCACAAGCUAGUGUGUUGUGGCUCUAGGGGAAGAAAUCUUGGGGAAAUUAUAAAAAAAAGUCCCAGGUGCCACACCCUAUAAAUAUAUCGUUUCAUCUUUGUGACCACCCAAACUGUUAGGUGCCAUUGGUGAGGAGAGCAAGUAACCUGACUCAGGUCUCCUUGUUAAAGUGAGGUCAAUGAUAAGGCCAGGACUUGAACCAGGUAGUCUAACAUCAGGGCCGAUCUCUCUCCCACCUUCUCUGCUGCCUUCCUGACAAUGACACUGAGAGUGUGAAUCUGGGUGUGUGGCUGUGUGUACGUCACAAUCUUUCUAGGCUUCAGAUACUUCAGUGUUUUGUUUUCUUAACAAACACAUGUGAGACUAAGAUGUAAUAAUUCUUGUUAGUGCUUUGGCUGGGCCUGCAGCUCUGCCAGUUACUUGGCAAGUCACUGAGUCUGAGUUUUCCUCAUCGGUAAAGUAGGGACACAUCUCCCACAGUGGUUGCAAGAAUUUGAUGAAAUGAUGUAUUCGACAAUGCCUCGUUCUUCCCAGUGUACAGCAGGCACUGGUGUCUGUUUCCUUCUCUGGUAUCUCCUUCUAUUCACAGGGAAAAUCCCAGGGGCUGGAGCAGCUUUGUCAGGCCACCUGAUGAGAAGAGGGCAUCUUUGCAAGCUCUGUGUCCUCAAUCAUCCUACGUGAAAUGUUAUGUCUGCCAAAGCAUAAUUAAAUCCUGGAGCAGCGAGCACAGAUAAUGAAUGCAAGAAUGCACCAUCCUGGAAGUAGAAAGUAGACCUCACUGGACAUCAAACCUGCCAGCACCUUGCAUUUGGACUUCCCAGCCUCCAGAGCUCCCUGGGUUGUGUCUACAGCCGUCCUGUGAUGAGCAUUCCAUAGGCUGUCUGUCUUCCCAGAGGAUCUGGCCCCGCUCUUGCACUAGAUCAUUCCCUGGGUCAGAGAAGUGACAGGUCUGGGCCAGGACUGGAGAGCAGCUGUUUAUCAUCCUGGCAGGAAACCGCACUCUCCAGGAGCACUCACAGGACAGGGACACUUGUGAGUCUCACCUCCUGGGCAGGUAGGUUUUCAGGUGGUUGGGAUCAGGCAGUGUCACAGCAGGGUGGGGGAGGGGUUCUUGGCUAUCCGGCAUGGGAAUGGGGACAGAUAUAUAAGGAAAACCUGCCACAGCACCCCACAACCGCACAGCCCCACUGGGGUUUCAGCCUCAUGACAUUAGCCACCACAUCUGUCAAAUGGAGACAAUAAUAAUUUCCUUCCCAUCCCUGCCACAUCCAUGUCUGCUUGGAGGGAAGGGGCUAAUGGCACAGGCCCUGUCCUGGGUGCUCCAGGGGAGAAAGCAGAGGCCAAGAAGAGAGCCAAUGACUUGCUUAAGGUCACUGUCCCCUUUGGCCCCAGGGUGACUGGGCUUUUGGAAUACUGACGCACUUGGAGAAUUGGCUGGAGUAAUUUCUAGUGGUCUAUGGUGACCUUGAACCCUAUGCCAGAGAAAUCCUGUACCCAAGGGCACUGAGAUUAAGGCCACUUUCCUGGCUUUGUAUUUAUUGUUUUAAAUAAUUUACAAUUGUUUUAAGUAAUUGCAUUUAUUGCUUUAAAUAAUUCACGAUUGCCUAAAAUAAUUUCAUUUGUUGUUUUAAAUAAUAUACUGCAAAAUAGAUCAGUGUUCUGUGUAGGACAGUUAGAGCUUAGAUACAGACACAAGAAAAUUAACAUCACCUGCCUUUUACACCAUUCAGAAAUACAGCUGUGAACCUUUUGAAGUAUGUUCUCUGGUCCUGUUUUCAAUUGCUCUUUGCUCAUUGAUUAAACAACACUUACUAGCAUCCCCUGGAUUUCAGGCACCGUCCUAGGCACUGGGAAUACCAUAAUGAAUAAGACUUGGUUCCUGACCUCAGGGAGCUUACAAUGGACCCCACCACCACACACACACACACUCACUCACAGAGUUGGUUUGGUUUUGACUGGUACUGAACUUAAUGUCUUGGAAACUUUUUUCCCCCACUGAAUGUAUUAUGAACACUUUCCCAUGUGAUUCUUUCACAAUAUCGUUUAAAUGGUUACACAGGGUUUCAUUCUCUGAACCUACCAUUUAUUUCACUUUCUAUUCUGGAACAGUCAGUGCUUUGGUGAAAAUCUUUGUGGUUGGAUCUGUGUACACACCUAUGGUUUGUUCUCUCUCCCCCCCCCCAAUUUUGUUAUUGUGGUAAAAUACACAUAACAUAAAAUGUACCGUCUUAACCAUUUUUAACUGUACACAUUUCACUGGUAUUAAAGACAUUUAUAAUGUUGUACAUCCAUCACCAGAACUCUUUGUCUCGUAAAACUGAAACUCUAUACUCAUGAAACAGCAACUCCCAUUCCCCUCUCCCCAGCCCCUAGCAGCCACAUUCUACUUCCCGUCGCUAUGAAUUUGACCACUCUGGAUAUCUCAUGUAAGUGGAAUGAAUUGUACUGCAUUUGUCCUUCUGCAACAGGCAAUGAGUGAUGUCCUCAAGCUUCAUCCAUGUUGUAGCACGUCAGAAUUUCCUUCUUCUAAGACUGAACAAUAUUCUACUGCAUGUAUAGACUAUAUUUUCUUUCUCCACUGUAUACUUAUUUCUCCAGGCUGAAUAUCUGGAAGCGGAAUUACUGAGUCAAAGCUUUGCUGUUCAUUGCCUAAUUCUCUUCCAGCACACAGGUGCCAAUUUCCUCUGCUUCUACUCCAAAACAAGAGUUUUCAUUUCCCUGCACUUCUGCCAGCACCGAGCACUAUAAGCUUUUUAAAAACAUUUUGAUAUAAUUUCAAAUUUACAGAAAGAUUGCAAGAGGAGAACAAAGACCACCCCUGUUGCCUAGAUUCGCCAAGUGCUAACAUUUGCCCCAUUUGCUUUCCUCCUCCUUCUCCCUCCCUCUCAACCCCAUCCAUCCUCCUUCUUUUGCUUUCUGGACCAUUUAAGGUGAGUUGCAAACAUCACAAUGCUUUAUCCCUAGUUAUUUCUGUGUGCAUUUCCCAACAACCUCUUACAUAACCACUGUACAUUAUAAAAAUCAGUAAAUUUAACGUUGAUGUGCUGAUGUGAUUAUUGCUAUUUUCUUUUUUCUUUUUCUUUUUUUUUUUUUUUGAGACAGAAUCUCACUCUGUCUUCCAGGCUGGGGUGCAGCAGUGGCACAAUCUUGGCUCACUGCAACCUCCACCUCCCAGGUUCAAAUGAUUCUUCUGCCUCAACCUCCUGAGUAAAUGGGAUUACAGGAACCCACCAACUCACCCACCUAGAUUUGUAUCUUUAGUAGAGAUGGGGUUUUCACCAUGUUAAUACCAGCACUUUGGGAGGCCUAGACAGGCUGAUCAUUUGAGGUCAGGAGUUACUACUAUUUUCUAAUCCACAAUCCAUAUUCAAAUUUUACCAAAUUUCCAAUAAUGCCCUCUCGACUUACCCCCAACCCCAAUCCUAAUGCAGAAUCCCACAUUGCAUUUAGGUGUUAUAUCUUCUCAGACCCUUUUCAUCUGGAGCAUUAUGCAUUUUUAAUACGUUUGUCAAUUUUAAAGGCACAAACGUGUACUGUUGUUGUUUUCAUUUAUUUUAUUUCUGGCAAAGCUGAAUAUUUCUUCUGGUGUGAAUUGCUCACUUGCAUAUUUCCUUUAGUGCAUUGCCCAGUGGUGUCCUUUGACUCUGCUUCUCUCCUGGGUUUAUACCAGCCCCAGCGCUUUGGUCACCAGACAUGACCUUCAGCAAGCAGCUCUUGUCCUGGAGAAAGCGAUGAUCUGCUGUCCCUGGAUCCUCCCGGUCCUGUCCCCCUGGAUCAGCAGCUUGGCUGGGAUUUUGAAAUAGUACAGUUGUCUGGUCUGAGCAAGGACGCCCCAUCUGUCCUUCCAAACUCCAGGGAGUACAGAGAGUUAUUCCUGUUUGGGUUCGACAUUUCCUGUGGGAUCUGACCCACUGCCAACCCCGGUUUUGUUUCCAAGAGGCCACCUGCUGAGUGUCAGCAGCGGUCAGUGGCCUCCUAGGUUGCCAUUGAUCAAUGUCUGCUCCAGCGGGUUCCUGGCAUCCGAGGCCUGGUCUGCAUCCCUGGAGAAGGGAUUGUGGUGCAAUGGAAAGCUCCCAGGGCACACUGCGCCCCCCACCCCCAGCUCAGGAUGCAGACGGGCUUCACCUGCUGAACCUGGAUAAUCUCCUUCAUGGAGCAGAGCUUGUUUCCUCUGCAAAGAUGGAAAAUGCUGAAGUUCACAGACACUGAGACAACAGGGGAAGAAUCCUGCCGAGGCCACCAGGACACCGUGCUGUCUUGUUGCUUACCAUUGUUAUUUUGUAUGUAAAUUGUUAUUACAUCAGUUAUCACUCUUUUAUGCAGUCAUAGAAAAAAAUAUAAGCAAAAUAAAUGUCAAUAUUCUGGGUUUAGCUUUUCUGCAUCACAGAUUUUCCAUGUCUUAACUUUUUUUAAUGAAGGAAAAUGUAAAUACAUAAAAUGAGAGAGAAAAUAGGAUGAUGAGCCCCCAGGUGAUCCUCAUCGUACGUGGUCUCAUCCAAUCCCCCAUUACGACACUCCUUCAGGAUUAUCAUGGGACAAACUUGAGACAUCAUCGACUUUCCUCUGUAGACACCUCAAUUUGUGUGUUAUCUGCAGAAGAUAACAAUCCCUUUGUUUCGAACAUCAUCUUAAUAUUGAACCACACCUAAAAAAUGACAAUGACUUGAUAGUAGCAUGGAAGUAUCUAGUCACUAUCUAGUCAGUGUCUGCAUUUUUCUAUAGUUGCUUUGUUCAAAUCAUCCCAACAAGGCUUAUAUUUGCAUUUGAUUGGCAUGUACCAUGGUGAAAAUAUGUCCUCCAAAUUCAUGUGUUGAAUUCAUAAUUUCCAUGGUGAUAGUAUUUAUUUAUAUUUAUUUUAUGUAUGUAUUUACUUAUUGCUCUGUCACACAGGCUAGAGUAUAGUGGUGCAGUCAUGGCUCACUGCAAUCUCAACUUCCUGAGCUCAAGCGAUCCUCCCACCCAAGUAGCUGGGAUCAUAGGCAAGCACCACCAUACCUAGCUAACUUUUUAAAUUUAAUUUUUAUUUUUGUACAGACAGAAGUCUCGCUGUGUUGCCCAGGCCAGUCUUGAGCUCCUGGUCUUAAGCCAUCCACCUGCCUCAGCCUCCCAAAGUGCUGGGAUUGUGGUUGUGAGCCACCGUGCCCAGUCCCAGUGUUUGAAAGUGAAGCCCUUAGGGGGCAGUUAAGUCAUGAGGGUUCUGCCUUCAUGAAUGGGAUUAAUGACCUCAUUAAAAGGCUGGGGGGAACUGAUGUUCAUUCUUUUUACUCUUCCAACAUCUGCCUGUGAGGACAUAGUCUUCAUCCUCUCCGCAGGAAGAGGCAAGAAGGUGCCAUUUGGAAGCAGACAGCAGCCCUCACCAGACAUCAAACCUGCCAGUGCCUGGAUCUUGGACUUCCCAGCCUCCAGAACUGCAGAAAAUAAAUUUCUAGUCUCAGUAUAUUUCAAUGUACCUAGUCUCAGGUAUUUUGUUAUUGCAAUUCACAUGGUCUGAGACAGCAUGUCUCUUCAUCUCUGUUAAUCUAUUAGUUAUCCUUCCCUCACUUUUUCUCUUGCAGUACAUUUGUGGAUGAAACUGGGCCAUUUGUCCCAUAGAGUUCUUUGCAUUUUGCUGUUUGCAUUUGUUUUAUAGUGUCCUUUAGUCUUCCUUGUCCCUUGUAUCUCCUGCAAACUGCUAUUCAGACUGAGAGCUGUUUUGACAACCCAAGGAGAAAGCAUCCCGGGGAGACUGUCAGUAAGUGUGAAUUUCCUUUAAAGAGGGUAUGGAAAAGAAUUAGGAACACUAAGGAUGGGAAUCAACAGACCAGCUCUGUUACUGGCCCAGGAAUAUGCCAUUUUGGGUGGAACAGUGGUUUUUUUUGUUUUGUUUUUAGAGAUGGAGUUUUGUUUUUGUCACGCAGGCUGGAGUGCAAUGGCAUGAUCUCAGCUCACUGCAACCUUCACCUGCCAGGUUUAAGUGAUUCUCCUGCCCAAGUAGCUGGGAUGAUAGGCGCCUGCCACCAUGCUUAGCUAAUUAUAAAAAUAUUUUUAGUAGAGACAGGGUUUCGCCAUGUUGGCCAGGUUGGUCUCAAACUCCUGAUCUCAGGCAAUCCACCCACCUCAGCCUCCCAAAGUGCUGGGAUUACAGGCAUGAGCCACCAUGUCUGGCCUGAACACAGUAUUUUUGUCUGUUACAUGGGGAAGGGAGUAAGGGAGAUGGACCAUGAGGUCUCCAGGCUCUUCUAUGGGGCUGCUUUCUGGAAUCAGUGAGUAAUAUGGCCUCCAGGGGAGUCUCUGCUUAGCAACAGUAAACUCAGCCCAGUCUCUCCGACCCAACAACCAAAGACAACUGGUCUACCCAGUACAAGGGAGCCCCAGCUCCCUGCACAGCCACUACUGGACCCUUAACAGGGCACUCAGGAAUGGGGCUUGGGAAGCCCACCUGGGUUGCAGAUUUCCCAAUAAGGUUUAGAUCCAUCUGCUUCCUGGUCACAUGGACUGGAACAUUUGUUCCCAGGGCCCCAGUGAAUGCUGGUUCCCUUCUUUGAUAACUCCAGAGAUGGCAGUAGCAGAGCUCCCUAUAAGCAAUUCACAGCUUUUCUUUUUUCUUCUCUUUCCUUUUCUUCAUUCCUUCUCGCCCUCACUUCUCCGCUUCUCUCUCCUCUCUUUUCCCCUCUUGAAUAAUCAAUUCCGUCAUUUUUCAGUGCACUAGGGGGAGCUGCUAUUUAACAAACCUGCAGGGACACUUCAGCAGUUUGAUGAGCCACCUUCUGGUUUUGCCCUAUGGGGAAGAAUUGGGUCACGGCAGAGUUGCAUAAAGCGGGGGCCACCUCCAUUGAAUUGGCUCAAUUACCCCCAACACAAAUACGGGGGUUGGGAGACCUGCAUUCGAGUAGUCUCUGCCCUCACCAGCUGCAGGAGGCUCCUUUCCCUACUCUGGCCUGGUAUCCUCAGGGGCUGUUUGUCCAGUGGUUAGGUGCGUGGUUCUAAAUCCUGACCCUGCCUCUCGUCUGCUGUGUAAACAUGGACAAACAGGCCAAUUUCUCUGAGUCUUCCCAUAAGUAAAAUAAGGCAGACAGCCCUCACCUCACACUGCACAGAGCCCAGAGCACAGUAAAACCCUCCAUCAUACCAUGAUGGCUAGGAGAAGGUCGGUCUUAUUUUAAGAUGAAGGAUGGGGCUGGCACAGGGUGGUGAAGAAGAAUAGCAAAGAGGCAAACACGCCUGGAGCCUGGCCCUGACUUUGGAGCCAGCAGAGGGGAACCAGGCUGUGCAUCACUCCAGGCCAUGGCAAAGGGGCCCUGGAGAUUUCCCUGGAGGGAAGGGGACCCAGGUGGCCUCCAUCAAGGCUACAGGGAAGCAUCUCCCCGCUUCAGGCCUCGGAUGUGGCCAGAAGCUGCUGUGCCUUCUGCUCACGCCCAUGGGCCCAGGGUUGAGGCAGACUGGAGGAAGGAGGACUCAUCUCCUGCUUCUGAGUCUUCUCACAACUCCCACCAGCUCAACACCAGCGUCUGGAGCCUUGGGAGCCACUGGUUUCUGGGGUGGGCUUGGGAGAUCCUCACCCUGCAUCAGGGGUGACUCAGAAAAGCAGUUGGUGGGCAGGGAGGGUGCUCAUCUCUGUACAAUAGGAAUAGAAACUUCACAUAAAGAGAAGCUGAAACAUGAACAAGUUAAAGAGAUGGAGAAUACGAAGGAAAAAUUCAGAGGCCUGGGGCUAAAAUGAGAAGGAUAAAAUACAGGAAUAAAAGAAAGUUAAUAUUGGAAGAAGUGAUAGCUGGGGAUUUUCCUUGUACUAGGAAAAUUCCCAGCCGUGAUUUAUAGAGGAAGGAUAUAAAAUCUGAAGUUGAAGAAGCACAAUGAGCCUUGAACAAGAUAAAAAUAAAUGAUUCCAUAAUUAGACACAGUUUAGAGAAACUUUACAACCCUAAAGUAGAAGAGAUCUCAAAGACCCAGAAAAGACAAAUUGUCUACAAAGGAACAACAGACUCUCAACCUAUAGCAAUGGAAUCCAGAGAAUAAUGGAAUAAUAUUCUAAUAAGAUUCUGAAGUGCUGGGGGACAUAGCUACCAGCCAACAUAUGCAUUAAUUCAAAAAUGAGGGUGACUUUGGGAGGCCAAGGUGGGUGGAUCACCUGAGGUCAGGG
This is a long non-coding RNA of Callithrix jacchus (white-tufted-ear marmoset), 11039 nucleotides long. RefSeq lists it as uncharacterized. Lineage: Eukaryota; Metazoa; Chordata; Mammalia; Primates; Cebidae. The record is from RefSeq and is a predicted model, not a curated record.